Molecule: non-coding RNA, 839 nt
Organism: Caretta caretta (loggerhead turtle)
Lineage: Eukaryota; Metazoa; Chordata; Testudines; Cheloniidae
Source: RefSeq, a predicted model, not a curated record
GGGAAAUAAAAAAAGAAUGCAAAUCAGAAGGAAGAGAGUAGGCAGAACAGGAAAAGUGAGGCAAGGGCUCCUUUCAUGUUGGCUGGAGUCUCCGGAACUGGAAGCAGAUGGGGGCUGUUCUUGGAAUCAACACUUUCCAGGAUAGAGUCCCCCAUUCUGUCAUUAAUAAAACUGUUAAAUACCAUAGAGCCAAGAACUUAUCCCUGCAGAACCCAACUGGAAACACCCCCUCUUGAUGAUGAUUCCUCAUUUACAAUUGCAUUUUGAGAUUAUAAGUUAGCCAAUUUUUAAUCCAUUUUAUGUGUGCCAUGUUAAUUUCAUAUCAUUCUGUUUUUUUAAUCAAAAUGUGUGGUACCAAGUCGAACACCUUAGAGAACUUUAUUACCAUUAUCAACCAAACUUGUAAUCUCAUAAAACAAAGAUCUCAAAUUAGUUUUUCAGGAUCUAUUUACCAUAAAAUCAUGUUGAUUGGCAUUAAUUUCAUUACCCUCCCAUCAUUCUUUAUUAAUCAAGUCCCACAUGAGGUGCUACGUUAUCUUGUGCAAGCUCUAUGUCAGGCUGACAAGCCUAUAUUUACUUGAGUCAUCCUGUUUACUCUUUUAAAAAUUGACACAGCAUUAGCUUUUUUCCAGUCUUCUAGAAGUCUUUCCCAAUGUGCUAAGACUUAUUGAAAAGUCAGCGUUACUAGUUCAGUAAGCUCCUCAAUCAGCAAUUAUAAAACUCUGGAUGCAGGUUAUCUGGACCUGGUUAUUUCAAAAUGUCUAACUUUAGUAGCUUCUGUUUAAGAUCUUUCAGAGAUACUAGCAGAAUGGAAUGAGUGUAAUCACCACAAUGAGACU